Molecule: ribosomal RNA, 253 nt
Filed under: uncultured bacterium
Lineage: Bacteria
Description: partial 16S ribosomal RNA
Rfam family: Bacterial small subunit ribosomal RNA
Source: RNAcentral
UACGUAGGGCGCAAGCGUUGUCCGGAAUUAUUGGGCGUAAAGAGCUCGUAGGCGGUUUGUCGCGUCUGCUGUGAAAACCUAAGGCUCAACCUUGGGCUUGCAGUGGGUACGGGCAGACUAGAGUGAUGUAGGGGAGACUGGAAUUCCUGGUGUAGCGGUGAAAUGCGCAGAUAUCAGGAGGAACACCGAUGGCGAAGGCAGGUCUCUGGGCCGUAACUGACGCUGAGGAGCGAAAGCGUGGGGAGCGAACAGG